UACGUAGGGUGCAAGCGUUGUCCGGAAUUAUUGGGCGUAAAGAGCUCGUAGGCGGUCUGUCGCGUCGGCUGUGAAAACCCGCGGCUCAACCGCGGGCCUGCAGCCGAUACGGGCAGGCUAGAGUUCGGUAGGGGAGACUGGAAUUCCUGGUGUAGCGGUGAAAUGCGCAGAUAUCAGGAAGAACACCUAUGGCGAAGGCAGCACUCUGGGACGGUACUGACGCUGAGACGCGAAAGCGUGGGGAGCGAACAGG
This 253-nucleotide ribosomal RNA is filed under the name uncultured bacterium. RNAcentral's name for it is "partial 16S ribosomal RNA". It matches the Rfam family "Bacterial small subunit ribosomal RNA", at positions 524 to 776 of the family's 1533-position model. The record is from RNAcentral.